This 491-nucleotide ribosomal RNA is filed under the name uncultured bacterium. RNAcentral's name for it is "partial 16S ribosomal RNA". It matches the Rfam family "Bacterial small subunit ribosomal RNA", at positions 29 to 507 of the family's 1533-position model. The record is from RNAcentral.
GUGAACGCUGGCGGUAGGCCUAACACAUGCAAGUCGAACGGCAGCACAGUAAGAGCUCGCUCUUACGGGUGGCGAGUGGCGGACGGGUGAGGAAUACAUCGGAAUCUACUUUUUCGUGGGGGAUAACGUAGGGAAACUUACGCUAAUACCGCAUACGACCUACGGGUGAAAGCAGGGGAUCUUCGGACCUUGCGCGAUUGAAUGAGCCGAUGUCGGAUUAGCUAGUUGGCGGGGUAAAGGCCCACCAAGGCGACGAUCCGUAGCUGGUCUGAGAGGAUGAUCAGCCACACUGGAACUGAGACACGGUCCAGACUCCUACGGGAGGCAGCAGUGGGGAAUAUUGGACAAUGGGCGCAAGCCUGAUCCAGCCAUACCGCGUGGGUGAAGAAGGCCUUCGGGUUGUAAAGCCCUUUUGUUGGGAAAGAAAAGCAGCAGGUUAAUACCCCGCUGUUCUGACGGUACCCAAAGAAUAAGCACCGGCUAACUUCGUG